RNAcentral lists this non-coding RNA (26 nucleotides) under Cricetulus griseus (Chinese hamster). Lineage: Eukaryota; Metazoa; Chordata; Mammalia; Rodentia; Cricetidae. The record is from RNAcentral.
UACCGUACCUGUGCAGCUGUUUUGUU